RNAcentral lists this small RNA (945 nucleotides) under Histoplasma capsulatum var. duboisii H88. Its description in RNAcentral is "Histoplasma capsulatum H88 hypothetical RNA". The record is from RNAcentral. Lineage: Eukaryota; Fungi; Ascomycota; Eurotiomycetes; Onygenales; Ajellomycetaceae.
CGGUUUGUUCAUACUUUUUGCUCAACUGAGAAGGCUGGAUACCUGCAGCGUCCCUGUGGCAAAGUAAGGUAAUCUACGUCAUUUCCUGAUAGGAGGCCCCUGGUUUAUUUUGCCAUCCAUUUUCAAAGCUUUUGUAUCCCGGGAGAGAUCCUGGGUGACUGAUUUCCCCUUCAGGUAGUUCCUCUGGAGUCUGGAAGGCGAGGUUCUCGCCACGCGCUCGAAGGUGGACGUGAUUGAUGCUUGAUAUCCUGGUGCUGUUGGGGGGAGGUCUUUGUUCAACCAAGCUAGCCCCAGAUGGCCACACCCGAACCCGGUUUGUUUGCACCAUCAGUAAUAAGCCAAGAGUUAGAUUUGAGUGGUUUUAAAGCAGGGCCAUCCCAACCUGCUUUCUCAACUGGUGACUGAAGGGGAGCCGUUGGUUUUUGGUGGAUGGUUUGCAAUUGCAUCAAAUCUUCAGUGUCCCUCCCAACCCAUCGCAAAACGAUGCCGCGGGCGUUUGCAAUAACGUGAUUGGCACGAAAGUCAGGAUAGGAUACAAAGACAAUUAAGUUAAGUUCAAGUUAUUUAGUGAGUUAACUAACAAUGAAACUUUAGACCUGUUACGUAAGAAAGACGUAACUGGACAGCUAGUUAGUUAGCCAGCGAGUUAGUUGACUUGAGUCUUUAGCUACAAUUUUGGCUUGGUCAAUGUGGAGCUCCCUCUAGGUAAAUUGAAAAUAAUGGCCUUUCUCAGGUCAUAUGCAGAUCGGAGUUACAAGUGGAAUUAGGGAUCAGAAGUGAAGAUGACCCGGGUUAUGGUUGGAGUUAGUUAAGCACAAGGGCGUGGAUGAAGAGGGAAACCAGAGAGAUGCCAGUCAGGCAUACAUAGUUAGCUACAGUUGAAACAUCACUAUUAGGUGCUCCGUAGCUUAAAGCACAACAAAAAGUCGUGCAUAGUUGUAAAGG